This 2569-nucleotide ribosomal RNA is filed under the name Staphylococcus aureus WMCS6019. Its description in RNAcentral is "bacterial LSU rRNA". It matches the Rfam family "Bacterial large subunit ribosomal RNA", at positions 349 to 2925 of the family's 2925-position model. RNAcentral also lists the same sequence under 1 other name. The record is from RNAcentral. Lineage: Bacteria; Bacillati; Bacillota; Bacilli; Caryophanales; Staphylococcaceae.
GAUGAAUCAAAGAAGGUAAUAAUCCUGUAGUCGAAAAUGUUGUCUCUCUUGAGUGGAUCCUGAGUACGACGGAGCACGUGAAAUUCCGUCGGAAUCUGGGAGGACCAUCUCCUAAGGCUAAAUACUCUCUAGUGACCGAUAGUGAACCAGUACCGUGAGGGAAAGGUGAAAAGCACCCCGGAAGGGGAGUGAAAUAGAACCUGAAACCGUGUGCUUACAAGUAGUCAGAGCCCGUUAAUGGGUGAUGGCGUGCCUUUUGUAGAAUGAACCGGCGAGUUACGAUUUGAUGCAAGGUUAAGCAGUAAAUGUGGAGCCGUAGCGAAAGCGAGUCUGAAUAGGGCGUUUAGUAUUUGGUCGUAGACCCGAAACCAGGUGAUCUACCCUUGGUCAGGUUGAAGUUCAGGUAACACUGAAUGGAGGACCGAACCGACUUACGUUGAAAAGUGAGCGGAUGAACUGAGGGUAGCGGAGAAAUUCCAAUCGAACCUGGAGAUAGCUGGUUCUCUCCGAAAUAGCUUUAGGGCUAGCCUCAAGUGAUGAUUAUUGGAGGUAGAGCACUGUUUGGACGAGGGGCCCCUCUCGGGUUACCGAAUUCAGACAAACUCCGAAUGCCAAUUAAUUUAACUUGGGAGUCAGAACAUGGGUGAUAAGGUCCGUGUUCGAAAGGGAAACAGCCCAGACCACCAGCUAAGGUCCCAAAAUAUAUGUUAAGUGGAAAAGGAUGUGGCGUUGCCCAGACAACUAGGAUGUUGGCUUAGAAGCAGCCAUCAUUUAAAGAGUGCGUAAUAGCUCACUAGUCGAGUGACACUGCGCCGAAAAUGUACCGGGGCUAAACAUAUUACCGAAGCUGUGGAUUGUCCUUUGGACAAUGGUAGGAGAGCGUUCUAAGGGCGUUGAAGCAUGAUCGUAAGGACAUGUGGAGCGCUUAGAAGUGAGAAUGCCGGUGUGAGUAGCGAAAGACGGGUGAGAAUCCCGUCCACCGAUUGACUAAGGUUUCCAGAGGAAGGCUCGUCCGCUCUGGGUUAGUCGGGUCCUAAGCUGAGGCCGACAGGCGUAGGCGAUGGAUAACAGGUUGAUAUUCCUGUACCACCUAUAAUCGUUUUAAUCGAUGGGGGGACGCAGUAGGAUAGGCGAAGCGUGCGAUUGGAUUGCACGUCUAAGCAGUAAGGCUGAGUAUUAGGCAAAUCCGGUACUCAUUAAGGCUGAGCUGUGAUGGGGAGAAGACAUUGUGUCUUCGAGUCGUUGAUUUCACACUGCCGAGAAAAGCCUCUAGAUAGAAAAUAGGUGCCCGUACCGCAAACCGACACAGGUAGUCAAGAUGAGAAUUCUAAGGUGAGCGAGCGAACUCUCGUUAAGGAACUCGGCAAAAUGACCCCGUAACUUCGGGAGAAGGGGUGCUCUUUAGGGUUAACGCCCAGAAGAGCCGCAGUGAAUAGGCCCAAGCGACUGUUUAUCAAAAACACAGGUCUCUGCUAAACCGUAAGGUGAUGUAUAGGGGCUGACGCCUGCCCGGUGCUGGAAGGUUAAGAAGAGUGGUUAGCUUCUGCGAAGCUACGAAUCGAAGCCCCAGUAAACGGCGGCCGUAACUAUAACGGUCCUAAGGUAGCGAAAUUCCUUGUCGGGUAAGUUCCGACCCGCACGAAAGGCGUAACGAUUUGGGCACUGUCUCAACGAGAGACUCGGUGAAAUCAUAGUACCUGUGAAGAUGCAGGUUACCCGCGACAGGACGGAAAGACCCCGUGGAGCUUUACUGUAGCCUGAUAUUGAAAUUCGGCACAGCUUGUACAGGAUAGGUAGGAGCCUUUGAAACGUGAGCGCUAGCUUACGUGGAGGCGCUGGUGGGAUACUACCCUAGCUGUGUUGGCUUUCUAACCCGCACCACUUAUCGUGGUGGGAGACAGUGUCAGGCGGGCAGUUUGACUGGGGCGGUCGCCUCCUAAAAGGUAACGGAGGCGCUCAAAGGUUCCCUCAGAAUGGUUGGAAAUCAUUCAUAGAGUGUAAAGGCAUAAGGGAGCUUGACUGCGAGACCUACAAGUCGAGCAGGGUCGAAAGACGGACUUAGUGAUCCGGUGGUUCCGCAUGGAAGGGCCAUCGCUCAACGGAUAAAAGCUACCCCGGGGAUAACAGGCUUAUCUCCCCCAAGAGUUCACAUCGACGGGGAGGUUUGGCACCUCGAUGUCGGCUCAUCGCAUCCUGGGGCUGUAGUCGGUCCCAAGGGUUGGGCUGUUCGCCCAUUAAAGCGGUACGCGAGCUGGGUUCAGAACGUCGUGAGACAGUUCGGUCCCUAUCCGUCGUGGGCGUAGGAAAUUUGAGAGGAGCUGUCCUUAGUACGAGAGGACCGGGAUGGACAUACCUCUGGUGUACCAGUUGUCGUGCCAACGGCAUAGCUGGGUAGCUAUGUGUGGACGGGAUAAGUGCUGAAAGCAUCUAAGCAUGAAGCCCCCCUCAAGAUGAGAUUUCCCAACUUCGGUUAUAAGAUCCCUCAAAGAUGAUGAGGUUAAUAGGUUCGAGGUGGAAGCAUGGUGACAUGUGGAGCUGACGAAUACUAAUCGAUCGAAGACUUAAUCAA